Molecule: small RNA, 80 nt
Filed under: Flavobacterium chilense
Lineage: Bacteria; Pseudomonadati; Bacteroidota; Flavobacteriia; Flavobacteriales; Flavobacteriaceae
Description: Flavo-1 RNA
Rfam family: Flavo-1 RNA
Source: RNAcentral
UCCUAGCCCUGAUAGAAGUGGAAAUCCUUUUAUUUUUUUCUUUAAAAAAUAAAAGAUUGAAACGGAUAGCAGGAUUAAGC